AAUUAAACAACCGCUAUUCUUUGUUUACAACGCGUACGUGGUUUGUUUUAAAAUUAUGAAAUUCGUUGUUCUCCAAAUAAUAUUUUGCACAAAGGGUUAAAUGAUUACGUAGGAUUCUCUGGAAACGAAUAAGAAUUCGCGGUGCAAAAGGAAUGUUUCCAGAGAACGAUGGUACUGCAAGAAAGACGAUUUAUUAUAAUCCAGAGCGACAAGUUGCUCGCAUGCUUCAGCGAAUUUAGAAGAAACGUGACAAACGGGUUUCGUGGUUGACUGAGAAAAGCAAGAGUGACGCUUUCAGACGUGUCAUCCCGGCUACGAUUUACCAAGAAUCUUCCAACAGCCCUCCAUAAGUUCCACGGUAACCAUGGUACGAAGGAACGAGGAAGGGACUGGAAUAAUCGAUAUUUAUUAAAUUAACUCGCGUUAUUAACUUGACAGGUGUUCCUCAAUUACGUACCACUUUGCUCGGGGAUACGUGACGGCGUAUACCUUCAACGAAGACAAUGGCCAUGACAUUCUGACCCGGGGGAUUAUUCAACAAGAAACGAUUACCAUGGAACGAGCAAAAACCGAAAUCUCAAUCGACGGCAGGUAAGGUCGGUCAUUAAAUCAGUUGCUGUUUUUUUCUUGCCAAAUAAUGGACUUUAAUUCGUUGAAAUUAUAGGCAUGAACGAUCUACAUAUUAUCAUCCGGAGGAUCUGGCAAGGUUUUAAUGACUUCGAUGGCCAUAUAUUUUAUAAAUUCUAUGGGCCCUCGGGUGUUUGACUUAUUUUGAUAAUUUCCUGUGAAACGAGGAUGUGGUGGUCAGCUCAGAUUCCGAAAGACAUUGGUUGAAAAAUUAAAGUAUUCACAGGGGGUUGAUUUCUCCAUGGCGGAUGUGCACGGGCAGAAAAGUUCCUCGUAGCGAAAGCAACGAGGAGGGAAACGUGGUACGAACGUAACGAUACGAAAGCGAUUCCCGGAGACAAAGGAAAACGUGUAGCUACACGCCUGGUUAAAAGGAGCGACCUCCUUGAGAACGGUCCUUGACUCGUAGAGACGGACAAGAUAAGCAGAAGAAGGAGAAACGAGUAGUCGUAGAAGUAGAAGAAGAACAGAAGGAGAUGGUACAAGGGGCACAACAGGAUGAGCUGAAGAAGAAGAAGAAGAAGAAGAAGAAGAAAGAAGGGAGUAGGGAGACCCGGAGGCAAGUAAUGGCGCCUACACUUGGUGGCCGCGAAAGGUCGAAGAAUAUUCUGCUUCCGAGGAGCCAACGGAAUAACGUUGCUCGCAUUCAGGCCAAGAGAAAGAGAAAAAUGUAUACAUGAAAGAAGAGGAACUCGAUAUUCAAACAGGAACUAUCCGGUCCCCAGGUAUAUACGCGAAGCCAUGAGCAGAAUGAGAAAUGAGCAAACAAGAAGAGACGAAUUCCACUGUAUAGAAUCCUAAUAUUUCCUCCCUUCGAGUUACAACUGCGCUCGAGCGACCAUUUAUAAAAUUCUCGCUAGAAUAUCCGCGUGAGGCCGGACAGGAAGGUGCUAUAAAUUAUAAGGUGAAUCCUUUGAAAAUUAACGAUUCGAUCCGGAGGAUACGGUUUAAUGUACACCAAAGUUCCUCCAUCCUUCUCUUGAAUGAUACCAGGGAUCAUGCAGAAGGUCGUGGGGUGUACUCAUUCGUGGCGAGAAAAAUUCACCAAGGGAAAAGAAACGAAGAAGACCGGAGAAAGAUACAUCCUCGCACGUAUGCUGUCCCGUCUACCUUUCUCUCUCGUAGACAACUUGGAAGAGAAAAAAGAGAAAAGAGAAGAGACGAGUGGCGUUUCGAGAAACGAAGGAUGCCUAUAAUCGGCAAUGGACGACCGCACCUCGCCACUUUCGCGUUGCUUGACGUGGAUACCGGUCUCCACCGAUCGAUCGACCGAUUUAAUCAUCCUCGUCUUCAAUCACCUAAAUGCAAAAUGUUCAACUAACGAUCGUCCUUGAACGUUGGAAGCAACUUUCCAAUGGGGUUAUCUGAAGAAAAGCGCGAGCAUACGUUCCUUUGUCUUUUUUUGUUAAUUUAUUCGAGAAACGUUGAUGCAAAUCCUUGAGAAACACGCGAACCACUUACUGUUUUUCUUUUCUAGUUAAACGUUCAUCGUACACCUCAUCUCAUCAGGCGUGCCCUCGCAUUCGUAAUAGAGAAGCACGGCUAAGAUUGCAAUUGGGCCGAGGAAACCGCCCGGAGGAUGCAUAAUUGAAUGAAGUCCAAGUUGAAUAUUACUUGCGAAACUCAUAAAUAUGCACUGAUUACACGGCAGCUUGUUGUGCAGCUCGUAUUCAGACCAUCUUCUCAACACACUAGCAAAAAGACACUUCUAUACCUGCUCAACUAUGCGCUGUUAAGUUCUAUUACACGAAGCAGAAAUUUCAUUCUUUCUUUUCUAAACCGCGAAUACCUGCGAAACCUUACGAUCGAAUUAAAUUUCUUCUAUUCGAAGAAGAAAAUUACCUCAGAGUUAUCGCGAAUAACGAUUUCCUGGUCAUCUUGAUUGAGUUCUCAGUUAUGCGAACGUAGAAUACAACACUGUAUUCGAAUGGAAAGAAGAGACAUCGGUUUCGAAUGAUUGCAGGUUGCAACGACGCGGAGUCAUGCGACAGAACAUCGCUAGUUGAAGCAAUUUAAUUACACUUUCUUAAUUGUCGAGGAAUUUUCACAUGCGUUGUAUCAACGCAUCAGAAUCUAGAUUUCCCUCUGAUAAACUCGCUUCCUAUGUAUCCUCCACCGUGAGAAGUAAUAUUUCUGCCCUCGUUAGGGACAAAAGUAAACCAAAUUGAAUUAUUACCAUUUUUCUAAGCGAACAGCGAUGCCAAUGUUCUCGGACAAAUAUUCCAGACGAUUGAUCAAACGCUGUCAAGGAUGAUUCUGUAUUAUGCUCAUUAAUUAGUUCCAGUAGAAACGACGACCAGAACGUACCUGAAUAACAUGCCUCGCGUGCGAUACACAUUUUCAUUGCAUAAUCUGUCAACGUAAAGUUCGAACGGGGUCAUAAACAGUGAAUGAAAAAAUUGCGGACGAUUGAAAUUUAAUAAUUUGUCAAAUUAAGCGCGCCUCUCUUUCGGAAGGGAUCGGAUAAAUAUGACAAACGAUUAUUAUUUUCAUCUGAGUCUAUACGAAAGGUGGCAAUCUUCUGCUGCUAAUUAAUGACGACAAGUAAUUUAUUCAAACGAGAGAAAAUCCUCAAGUUCCUCGA
Molecule: long non-coding RNA, 3211 nt
Organism: Osmia lignaria (orchard mason bee)
Lineage: Eukaryota; Metazoa; Arthropoda; Insecta; Hymenoptera; Megachilidae
Source: RefSeq, a predicted model, not a curated record